RNAcentral lists this unclassified non-coding RNA (383 nucleotides) under Hevea brasiliensis (rubber tree). Lineage: Eukaryota; Viridiplantae; Streptophyta; Magnoliopsida; Malpighiales; Euphorbiaceae. The record is from RNAcentral.
AUAAGAUCGUAUAAUGUUCAUCACUCAGCAAUUCACUAGAAGUUACUGUGUGAUUAGAAGUUCCCUCGGCAAAAAUAGGUCUUUUAUAGUGCGGAAGAAGCAGCAGCAAGAAUCCUAAUAAUGGAUGAAUUACAUAGUGCUUUGCUUAUCACUUGGCUAUCUUAGCUGUGAGUUCUCUUACCAACUUAGCAGCAACCAUGGCUGUCAUCCCAUCGACAGUGUCUCGCUGAGGGUUGAACUCAACAACAUCUGCGCCCACGAUAUCCCCUUUCAGAUUGUGGAUGAUGUUCAUUAUAUCACGGAACGACAAACCUCCUGGUUCAAUAUGAGACACUCCAGGAGCAAAUGCUGGAUCGAGAGAGUCGACGUCUAUUGAAAUGUAA